RNAcentral lists this ribosomal RNA (253 nucleotides) under uncultured bacterium. RNAcentral's name for it is "partial 16S ribosomal RNA". It matches the Rfam family "Bacterial small subunit ribosomal RNA", at positions 524 to 776 of the family's 1533-position model. The record is from RNAcentral.
UACGUAGGGUGCGAGCGUUGUCCGGAAUUACUGGGCGUAAAGAGCUCGUAGGUGGUUUGUCGCGUUGUUCGUGAAAACUCACAGCUUAACUGUGGGCGUGCGGGCGAUACGGGCAGACUGGAGUACUGCAGGGGAGACUGAAAUUCCUGGUGUAGCGGUGGAAUGCGCAGAUAUCAGGAGGAACACCGGUGGCGAAGGCGGCAUCCUGGACCAUUACUGACGCUGAGGCGCGAAAGCUAGGGGAGCAAACGGG